AAAAGAUAAGCUAAGUUAAGCUACUAGGUUCAUACCCUAUUUAUGAAAGUUAUAAUCUUUCUCUUUUUAA
This 70-nucleotide transfer RNA is filed under the name Macratriinae sp. 2 ACP-2013. Its description in RNAcentral is "tRNA-Met". It matches the Rfam family "tRNA". Rfam says of the family: Transfer RNA (tRNA) molecules are approximately 80 nucleotides in length. Their secondary structure includes four short double-helical elements and three loops (D, anti-codon, and T loops). Further hydrogen bonds mediate the characteristic L-shaped molecular structure. tRNAs have two regions of fundamental functional importance: the anti-codon, which is responsible for specific mRNA codon recognition, and the 3' end, to which the tRNAs corresponding amino acid is attached (by aminoacyl-tRNA synthetases). tRNAs cope with the degeneracy of the genetic code in two manners: having more than one tRNA (with a specific anti-codon) for a particular amino acid; and 'wobble' base-pairing, i.e. permitting non-standard base-pairing at the 3rd anti-codon position. The record is from RNAcentral. Lineage: Eukaryota; Metazoa; Arthropoda; Insecta; Coleoptera; Anthicidae.